CAUUCUCUUGAUGACAAACAUAUGCAUAAGAGAUAUGCCAUCAUUUUUCCUGGAAGUAAAAUUCCAAAAUGGUUUAGGCAUCAAAGUAUAGGGGCUGAAGUGAAUAUAAAAGAACCUUUUUCUCAUUUGUGUAAUGAGUGGAUGGGGAUUGCUGUCUGCGUUGUAUUUUGUUCUCAUCCACGUCACCAAAUCCCCAAUGGUGAUUCGCUUUCCUGUUGGUUGGUAGCUAAUGGAAAAAAAAUGUCUUCUGCACCAAACACUGGCCAUAUUGUUGUUUUAUCAGAUCAUAUUUGGCUACUUUAUUUGCUUCCUCAAUACUACCAAGAGAAACAAAUAAAAUUAUUGUCGGAAUGUGAUGCAAAUGGAUUCAUUCGGGUUGGAAUUAGAAUUAUGACUCAUUGUUCAGUCUUUGAGGUGAAGAGAUGCGGGUUCCGUAUGGUGUAUAAGAAAGACAUUGAAGAUGUCAAUCGAAGUAUGGCUCAUGGCUCAGUGUAGCAACAAUAGCACCAUUCCUUAUAAGGGUUUGGAUGUCAAGCGAACCUGUGCUGGCUAUGAUGGGGCUGGACCUAAUGGAGAAGGAAGCUCUAGUAUCACACCCAAAAUGGAUUGUUAGGAGUCAAUUGAGUACAGAGACUGUGGUGAGGAGUUAAGCGAUUGGGAGGAAUCUAGUGAAAGUGACCGGGAAGGUUAAUCAACUUUUUUCUCUACAUUACCUUGUUAGGUUAACAUCUUAACACCUCAUCAUCCCAUGUGAUGCUUGUGUUGAGGCAUAGGUGAGACUGAGACCUUUUUUUUCUGAGAAACCAGACAAGAAGUCUGGGCUAAUAUUAAUAAAGCAUGUUCAAUGGGCAUCAAAUAGCAAAAGAGAGGUAAUAUCCUCAGGUGGAUCAACAAGCCACACCUGGGACCCCAACCGAUUUUAGCUUUUUUUGCUAAAGCAUCAGCAACACAGUUACAAGAACGAUUAACAUGGUUGAACACACAGGACUGAAAAAGCACGGCUUGACAGCGUAUGUCUUCAAUGACGUUUCCAUAGGUUGAGAAUCCAGCAUUACCUUGGUUUAUAGCAUUGAUAACCAUAGUUGAAUCCCCCUCAAAAACAACUGUUUGAAGCCCAAACUCAGCUGCCAAAGCCUCCAUAUCAGCGAUGGAGUGAGCCACAGCGCACCAACAAGUUCACCCCUCCAAUCUCAAACAAUAACUCCAAUUCCAGCCGAGUUUGUGGUUCUGAAUACAGCAGCAUCAAAGUUCACUUUGUACUGAUUCAGCUCAGGUGGACGCUACUGGUGCGAGAUGGUAGGGAGAGGUUUCACUGGUUCCUUGUCUUCUGCUAUCAAAAACUCCUGCAGCAUGUUACCAGCCAUAGAGACGAUGUUUGCAAUAGGGUGCACUGGACGGCCAAAGUGAGAUGCGUUUCUCCUAUUCCAUAAUAGCCAGGCCGAUAUAGCAAAUACCUCUUUUCGAUAAUCAUCCUGCACCUACAAAAACCGAGCAAGUAAGUUGCAAAAAUUCAGGGUUGGGGAUGGCUCAACUGAUGCAAGCAAUUGAGUGAACUCCACACGAUCUCCACUUCCUUGCAAGACCAGAAAGCAUGCAAUAGCAUCAUUCCUUAUUAAGGAUUUGGAUGUUCUCCAUCAUAAUUUUGGCAAUGCCAAGCAGACCCGUGAUUACUAUGAUAGGGCUGGACCUAAUGGAGAAGGAAACUCUAAUGAUGUACAGCAGCCAAAACAGAUUGUGAGGAGUCAAGCGAUUGGGAGGAAUCUAGUGAAAGUGACCAGGAAGGUUAAUCAACUUUUUUCUCUUCAUUACAUGCAAACAACAAUGUAGAAAAGAUUGAAGAAUGGAGAAGGUAGUCUGCUUAGAUUUGUAAGCCCUGCCCUACUUGUUAUGUUGUUUUAAUCCAUUUUGUCUUUAAUUUAUGCUUUGUUGCAUUUUCCUUGUCAUUUUGUCAUUUUAGCCUAAUAUAUUACAUUUCGUCGUGAAUUGAUAAUACACCUUUAUAAACAUCCAAGUAUGUACAUUAGGUAGAUUCUCUAAAAGUUGUGGCAGAUCUGAUAAUCAAAGAUACUUGAAGGUGGAAUUCUGAAUUAGUCACUCAUGGUCAAAAUGAUGCUGAGAGAAUUUUACAAAUUCCUGAUUGUGUUGCUGAUAAGUUCAUAAGACCUCAUUCCAAAUCUAGGGCUUAUUUGGUUGAAAUAGGAUAAUGGCUGUUGCAUACCAGGAAUUAUAGAAACAAAGCUGCCAGGUCUUUUAGUGAUCUUACUGGCACAACCUUAAGGGGAGGCCCUGAGCAUUGGAACCUGUUAUGUAGGUUACAAUUACCUUUUAAAAUGAUGGUCAUUCAUUGGAGGAUUUUAUUGGAUUUUCUUCUUGUGAUGGCAGUAUUGUGAAGACAUCUGAGGACUUAUAUCCUUUGUGUCAAAGAUACUAAAAGCUUAGACCAUAUGUUUUUUUUCUUUGUCAUCCAGAGAUAUCUAAUUUGUUUUGAUCUAUCCGUUAGAACUGAUUUCAUUCAGUCUUACUUGAUUCAGGCAUGGAUAAAGGGAAUCAGGGUCAAUUUAGAAAAGUUAAAGUACUUCACGUUGUGUUUUGUCUCUAUUUUAUGGUCUAUUUGGACUUAUAGGAACAAGGAAACUUUGAAGAAAGAACCUUUCUCUGCCACUAGUGUGGUCUUGUAUUGUAAAAGUUUGGUUUCAAUGUGCAAGGUGACUAACAAUUUAAAAAACAAUGAAAGGCCUUGACAGCAGCAGGAUAAGCAAAUCCAGACCUUUAGAGAGUGCUCCAACUGGAAACCAAUCCUGUUGUAGGAGAGCUGAAAGGGUAGGAAAAGGAAAUAGAGGGGAUCCAGUUUAUUUUGUAAAAGUAGAGAUGGUGCAUUCGAUGGCUGGUUGUUUCAGCUGGGCUGUAAAAGAUUCUAUGAGAGCAGCUAUUUUUUGGCUUUUUGUGAAGGAUUGUUGAAGCUUCAGGCUUUGUGAGUUCUCUCUGUUAGUAUUCUUAGAAGUAACAAAGAGGCAGCAGAGUUAGCUAAUAGAGAGGCUGUGGUGAAGCCGUGAAAGACAUUCAGCAGUUUACAAAUGUUUGGGUUUGACAGGUCAACAGAUGUCCUGGCAGAGGCUUGAUCUCUAGCAACCAUUGCUUCUAAGUUCUUUAUGAACAUAUUAGCUUGGAUAACAGACAGUGAACUCCUAAUCUUGUACUAUUUUCUUCUUGUGCAGUUUUGGUUCUUUUGUUCAACGUGCCUAAAACGAAUGGCAAGAAAAACUUUUCGUUGGUGUUCUAAAAGCAGUAGAAAUCAUUUUCCAGAAAGAAAGUAUACAUAAAAAUUGGAAAGCUUUUACUGCCAAAGGAUGAAAGAAAAGCGUGUUAUAGGGGGUUUGGUUUUGAGACAUUUGCUGAUGAAAUUUCAGCAGUGUAUGCCUCUCAGAAAUUACAUAGGAUACUUAGGCAGAAGCUGUGUCAGUGGAUGUUAUCAAGAAAUGUAAUUAAAUCCUCUACUGCUAAUACUUCUGGUAAUUUCAGCAAUGCCUAUUGUUGGUAAUGGCCAUGUUCUUGGGCCCAAUAGGCACCCAGUAUCAAAUGAAAUAUCCUCAUAACUUCCUUAUGCAUGGUGGUUGGGGCUACUGUCUAUCACAUACAGUCUCAAAGAAACUCAAGAAUCCAUGGAGGAGAGAUCAAAACAAGGGCAAGAAUAGUGAAGAGUGUGAGAAAAGAUGUCAAGUAUAGGAUAACAUUUAAAAGGAAGUGGUUGCAACUCUAUCCUAAACAGAUUUCUCUGUUCUAACAGGGGUGUACCUCAUUCCAUCCUUCAUGAAUUCUGCUUAAAUGUUUGCUGGUAGCUGGGUUUUUGAUUGGUUUGUUGUAAGUUUGAUUAGCAGUAAUUUAUUUGAAGACUGUGUCUCUGAGUAGAACCAGUUUGGGAUAAUGUGACACUUUUUUUAUCUUGAGUAGUGAGUUUAUGUCAGAUCAGAUGACCGCUGAAGUCUCAGUGUUCAAGUUUUUCUGUUUGUAU
This is a long non-coding RNA of Quercus robur (English oak), 4009 nucleotides long. RefSeq lists it as uncharacterized. Lineage: Eukaryota; Viridiplantae; Streptophyta; Magnoliopsida; Fagales; Fagaceae. The transcript has 4 exons. The record is from RefSeq and is a predicted model, not a curated record.